AUAUCAACUUUUCAAAGAUUACAAAAUAGCCCCACAAGUGGAUAAAUCCACUAGGGAGGCCGGCCAUUCAAUGGGAUGGUGGGAAGUCUCACCCACAUGCUACAAUUUAAUGCCAAAGUAGGAAAAAAAUCCAAAUUUGCAUGUCACUUGGUUUUGGCAUUAAAAGGCUUUAAUGAGAAAGUUUGAUGGAAAUCUCCUAGACAAGUCUAGGGUUUUAAUAAGUUUUAAUAUAGUUAUGGAUGGUAAGAACAUCACCCAAAACCAUAAAACCAUGCAUGAAAACCAAAUAAAACCAUUUUCACCCAAAACCCAAUUAUGAACACCAAGAACAAAACCAUGAACACUUUUUCAAGAUUUGUGUAUUCUUGGUGAUUUUUCAAACCCAAAAACAAAAGUGACAAGAACACUUCUUUUAAGCUUUAACAGGAUGUGUGAGUGGUUUACAAUAAAACACAAACACAACCCAAAACCACCCCCAAAACCGUGCCUACCCUUUUGAACAAAACCCCAAAUUUUGUUCAUGACUUAUUCUUCAUUUAUGCAUACAAAACAACUUUUACAUGCAUAUCUUUUUCAACUCUUGAUUUACAUUUUUCAACCAUUGAAAAACAAAAAGACAACAUACUUUUAAAUGAAGAAAUAAUAUGUCAAACUAGUCUUAAACUCAUUUUUUCAUUUCAUGCAUACAAAACACUUUUGCAAACAUAUCUUUCUCAACUUUUGACUAACAUUUUUCAACCAUUGAAAAACAAAAGACAAACAUACUUUGAAUGAAACAAUAAAUAUGUCAUGCAUAACAUUAAUAUACCCAUAUGCAUAAAAUCCAAAAGGACACAUUAUAUAUAAACCAUUGGCUCUGAUACCACUUGAAGGGAAAAUUAUGAGAUUUCUAGAAUGGGAUUUCAUAAUGACUAUCAUGCAUAUUCAAAUCAAAUUUAAUAUACGAAAG
RNAcentral lists this long non-coding RNA (949 nucleotides) under Malus domestica (apple). RNAcentral describes it as "long non-coding RNA (MDOM_LNC018074)". Lineage: Eukaryota; Viridiplantae; Streptophyta; Magnoliopsida; Rosales; Rosaceae. The record is from RNAcentral.